This 747-nucleotide ribosomal RNA is filed under the name Triticum aestivum (bread wheat). Its description in RNAcentral is "partial small subunit ribosomal RNA". Lineage: Eukaryota; Viridiplantae; Streptophyta; Magnoliopsida; Poales; Poaceae. The record is from RNAcentral.
AUGGCUCCCAUUGCUGGGUUGCUUAAUCCUCUUGCAGUGACCGUUCCAGUUGAGGCGGUUCUGUUUGACAUUGAUGGCACCUUGUGCGACUCAGAUCCUCUUCAUCACGUCGCUUUCCAAGAAUUGCUACUUGCGAUUGGGUACAACAAUGGUGUGCCGAUUGACGAUGAGUUCUUCAUAAACAACAUCGCUGGAAGAAGCGAUGCUGAAGCUGCCCAGAAUUUGUUCCCAGACUGGCCCCUCGAAAAGGGGCUGAAAUUCCUAGAGGACAAAGACGUCAAAUACAGAAGUUUGGCGAUGGAGCGCCUAGAGCCUGUAAAGGGCCUCCACAAGGUGGUACAGUGGGUGAAAGAUCACGGCUACAAGCGUGCCGCAGUAACCAAUGCCCCAAGGAUCAAUGCGGAGCUCAUGAUCAAACUUCUUGGUCUAUCAGACUUCUUCCAGGCCGUGAUUGUUGGAGGCGAAUGCGAGCAGCCAAAACCCGCCCCCUUUCCAUACCUGAAGGCCCUCAAGGAGCUCGAAGUGUCCGCAGCACACACCUUCAUCUUCGAGGAUUCCGCUUCAGGGACACGCGCAGGUGUUGCCGCGGGGAUGCCCGUCGUCGCCGUCUCGACGAGGAACCCGGUGAAGUCCCUACAGGAAGCUGGGGCCGCAUUGAUCGUCAGUGACUAUGAAGACCAGAAGCUGUGGAACGCGCUCGAGGAGAUCGACAGAGAGGAAGCGAAGCUAAAGAAUGGUGGAGCGUGA